UGGUUCUUCCAGAGUGCCAACUCAUGUGUUGCUUUCAAUUUUUUAACUCUUAAAUCAACUCUUUUAAUCAUUUAUAAUUCUUGAAUUAAUAUUAUUCCCAUAGAAUUAAGGACCAUUAAAUUCCAGGAGGACCAGUCAACCCUGGGUUAUUACUAUCAUUCCAACCCUAUGAUUCUUAAUCCAAAGACUGAAAAGGCGGAAGUACCAACUCCUAUCUACCUCUAAAAGCAUAGUAACUCUUCACCUAUUUCAAUUUAACUCUACUUUUUUUUAAUAAAAAAAAUACAGUAACAAAAUAUGACCGUUGAUUAAGGUGUGAGAAAAAUUUACAAAAAUUUGAUAGUCGAUGCACGUAUUUUCCAAUGCACCGAGUGUAAAUAAAUUCACGUGGUGUAUAAAUUGUGUCCCCAGCUAGCUAACUCCGAUAUAUAUAUAUAUAUAUAGUAGGGCUAGAAUACUUGUAAAAGUAUCAUGGGGGUGAUACUUGUGUGUUUUUAGUUCUUGGAUGGAGAGAUGUGAGGUUGAGAUGAUGGUGGUAGGUGGUGGUAGGUGGUGGUAGGUGAAAUAGUGUUUAAUCCAAGGACUAUUAAUAAUCAAAAAGUAGAUCCAAUGGCUUAAAACCUAAUAGCACCAUAAUGGUGAUACUUGUAAAAGUAUCAUAGCUCAACUCUAUAUAUAUAUAUA
This 684-nucleotide long non-coding RNA is filed under the name Ananas comosus (pineapple). RNAcentral describes it as "long non-coding RNA (ACOM_LNC026725)". Lineage: Eukaryota; Viridiplantae; Streptophyta; Magnoliopsida; Poales; Bromeliaceae. The record is from RNAcentral.